AUAGGCCAAACAUAGCCCUUUGACAAUAAACCAUCUCCAACCGAGGAGGUCAAAGGAUCAUAGGCCAAACAUAAUUUAUUAUUUUAAUUAAAUUAAUAUGGUUAAUUAAAUUAAACUAUCAUAUUAAAAUAAGGUUUUUGGACAUAUUUUGAGUGCCACUUGUCGCCAAAUGAAUAAGCCUCCAGAUUUCUUAUCUUUAUAUAAUCUCAAUAAUUUUUUGGAUAUGAUUUCGAGCAACACAUGUCGCCAACGUGAGUAACUCUCCAGAUUUCUUAUCUUUAUGUAAUCUCAAUAAUUUUUCGGAUAAGAUUUCGAGUGACACGUGUCGCUAAAGUGAGUAACUCUCUAGA
RNAcentral lists this long non-coding RNA (350 nucleotides) under Malus domestica (apple). RNAcentral describes it as "long non-coding RNA (MDOM_LNC014402)". The record is from RNAcentral. Lineage: Eukaryota; Viridiplantae; Streptophyta; Magnoliopsida; Rosales; Rosaceae.